Long non-coding RNA from Dunckerocampus dactyliophorus (ringed pipefish), 651 nucleotides. RefSeq lists it as uncharacterized. The transcript is spliced from 4 exons. The record is from RefSeq and is a predicted model, not a curated record. Lineage: Eukaryota; Metazoa; Chordata; Actinopteri; Syngnathiformes; Syngnathidae.
GAGGAGUGGAGAAGGAAACAGUUGCAGUUGGCAGAAAAAAGGGUGAAAUGAGGAAUAAACUGCAAUAUUUCAGAAGUAGUGAGGAGACUAAACAAUGCCUAAGAUGACACCAUUAACAAAUGAUACACAAAUGGGUGUAUCUUCACCCCACAACACAAAGGUAACAACAAGACCAUAUUGGCCUACUGCAAAACAUAUUUUGAAAAUGUUCGAUGUAGUUUCAAGAGCUAGGAGGACAGUCUUGAAGAAAGGAGAGCUCAGGAAUAAAGGAAACAAGACACAAAGGAAGAAUGUUUUUCUUUACCUCUGCCCUAUCUAAUGUGUUCAGUGCUCAAACUUCUAUUUUUUUCUGUGCUUUUGCAGCUGUACAAAGCCAGGCGUAGUAUCCUCUAUAGCACUGAAGAGGCUGUAUGGAAAAGACCUACAAUGGAUCUCAUGACAGAGGAGGAGAACGCCAUCUUGGAUAGAAAGCCUGUGUGGGUCGUGCGACCUCCACAUCGUAGCAGCGAAUUCAUUACAGCAACUUGAAGGGGACAAAAAAUAUGUUGCAUGUCCACACCAAGAGUUGCACUAAAUGCCUCCAACGGCAUGUACAUUUCUACAUUUUAAUAAGCUUUCACUUGUGUAGCGCUUUCUAUCUUCCAAGGUACU